CUUUCCCUCUGGCGGCAUGCCUUACACAUGCAAGUCGAACGGCAGCACGGGUGCUUGCACCUGGUGGCGAGUGGCGAACGGGUGAGUAAUACAUCGGAACAUGUCCUGUAGUGGGGGAUAGCCCGGCGAAAGCCGGAUUAAUACCGCAUACGAUCUACGGAUGAAAGCGGGGGACCUUCGGGCCUCGCGCUAUAGGGUUGGCCGAUGGCUGAUUAGCUAGUUGGUGGGGUAAAGGCCUACCAAGGCGACGAUCAGUAGCUGGUCUGAGAGGACGACCAGCCACACUGGGACUGAGACACGGCCCAGACUCCUACGGGAGGCAGCAGUGGGGAAUUUUGGACAAUGGGCGAAAGCCUGAUCCAGCAAUGCCGCGUGUGUGAAGAAGGCCUUCGGGUUGUAAAGCACUUUUGUCCGGAAAGAAAUCCUUGGCUCUAAUACAGUCGGGGGAUGACGGUACCGGAAGAAUAAGCACCGGCUAACUACGUG
RNAcentral lists this ribosomal RNA (486 nucleotides) under uncultured bacterium. RNAcentral's name for it is "partial 16S ribosomal RNA". It matches the Rfam family "Bacterial small subunit ribosomal RNA", at positions 36 to 507 of the family's 1533-position model. The record is from RNAcentral.